CUUUUUUUAAAAGAACAUGCAAGCUAACUUGUGAGAGAGAUUUCACAGAUAGUCUUUGUCUUCACCAGUAGGCCUAAAGAUUAUUUGGUAAAUUUUAAAAUACUCAGGAACAGUAGAGAGAAGUUGCACAGUCAAGGCCAAUAUUUUCCAAUUGAAAUGUGGAGGCUGAAGUAAUUGGAGAAGCUGAUAGUGACUGUUUCUGAUCCCAAAAUGAUUAUUAGGAUCAACAAUUCGGCACCGAAAAAGUUGGAGAGAAGCGAGCUGAAGGUUGGAUCCGCAUCUAAAUGCGGUGCCAACGCCUGCUCUUGCAAUCGCUGAUGCGUUUCCCUCAUCAACAAAGAAUGUAAUUUGGCAGGUCGCUCCUGCCUUCAGAGUGGUUACUGCGGUGCUGUCUCUUCAUAUAUGGUGAUGAUUCUGGGUCAUUUUCUCAAGUUUGAAACUGGAUGUGGUGAUGGCUAUUUCCAGAUAGAAAAUAGCUGAAUGCUGGAAAGAGUUGAAGAGACGAGCAACUCUGAUUUUGCACUUUGAUCUAACUGAAUUACAAAAGCCGUCCUUUGUAUUCUACAGCUCUAAGGAAUCGGAGUCUCAUUCUGUAUUAUGAUCGUCCUUCUGUGAGAAGAAUGUACUUUCAUUAUUAAAUUAUAUCAGAAAAUAUUCCUAUUGUGUUUUAUGGUUUUUUAAUCCUUAUAUUUUAUAAAGAAAGAUUUUGAGAACCAAGUUUCACAUGCCACUUUGGAUAGUAUAAUAUUCCCAUUGGAGUAAUUAGCUCUCUUCUUCCUGAUAAAAAAUAAAAUAAAAAGACCAAAGGAGAAAGGCAGAUGGAAAUCAAAGACUGCCUUUCCUACCUAAAGCUGGCGUUGGGGAAAACGGAUGCGUCCAUGGGCAAGCGGGCGGAAGGGGCGGGGCUACGCAUGCUCAGUUUCUCCUGGCAAACGUCAAUCAGGCCCCUUCGCCCUGGGGCCGAGGGGUGAGGGGCCCUGCAGGGAAAGGAGGCCAUGAGUGGCCCGGAGGCAUCCUCGACUUACUUGACAAAGUCUGCCAUAGUAGAUAAGAAAACUACAACACAGAGAGGUGAACUAACCUACCUAUGACCUCAUCACUAUUAAGGGCAGAGCCAACAGUCCAACUCCAGGACUCUGUCUUACCUCUGCACUUUGACCUUUCACAGUCUGUGAGUUCAGUGAAAGGAAUUGUUAUUGUGACUAACAUCAAAACAGAGAGAAUGAAUCAAAACGUCCAUCUCCUAUACCUCAAUAUGACAUUUUUCUUCUUUAGAAAUACAUGAGAAAUAUGUCAUUUCCAGCUUGGAGUAACAAAUGGCACAACCAUUUUACAGCUAAUUUUACUCCCCAGCCAGUUCUGAGAUGUUAAUAACUAGGGCUGUGCCAUCCCCAUCACAUUUUGGGUUUCUUAAAAAUAAUCCCCAGCUGUCUUCCAUUGUAUGCCAUUUUAUAAAAUAUCUUUUUCCCCAGUAUUUUUUUUCCCUUUUUAGGGAAACAAAAGCAUGUUUUAACAGCACCCAAUCCAUAUGCUUUUGAUUUACUUGUACUCAGAUCGCCAAAAUAUUGCUUUAUAAGAUGUAUUUUAUUCCUCUUCAAGCUAUCUUGAAUAAGAACUUUUUAACAUUUCCUUCCUCUCGAUCACUGAGCAGUGUUUUGCUAAGGGGAAGAAUAUCUAGAUAUCAUAACUGAAUUGGUUUAAAGCAGAAAGUCUGGACCUCUGUGGAGGACUUGGGAAAACAUGCUUCUCCGUCCAUUGCUCAAUCAUGGGACGAUUCAGAAACUCUAGGCAGCUGAUGGCCCAGCUUAGGGACACUCAUGGCUCCAGAGACACAAAAGCAUUUUUAAUCAUUGGUCAUUCCUACACACCCCACAGUGGAGCUGUAAGUACUUUCCCCUUUAUAGAAAAAAAAGGGGAUGAGUGGGAAAAGAAAUUUCUCUUGUCAGCUUGAGCUUUAAAAAGAAGAAGGAAGUAUGGGGUGAAUGGAUGUUUUUAAGCUCAGGCACAUGUUAGAGGGAGAGGAAAUGAGACUGAGUGAGAAACAAAGUGCUGACGCUGAAGGUCCUCAUGGCCUCAGAAUGACCCGUGAAUCUCACCAGUUCCUGUAACAAACACCACAAAAUACGCCUCAUGCAAACAGCAACUUUGUAAGGAAGCGCUGGCCUUGAGUGGAGUCAGCAGAAUCAGGAGUGGUGCCAAGCAGGGCUCCUCUGUAAGGUACAAAAGAGAACAGAAAGAGAUCUAAGACCUGAGGCCUUAGAAAAGACAUAAACAGGACAGAAAACCACUUGAUGGGACCAAGUGGUCCAUUUCUACCAGACAUCUGGAAGAGGUGGGGAAUGUGAACUGCGUGAACAUUUGAGGAUGAACAGUAGAGUGACUUCUUUUUUCCCAGCUUUAAAUUUGGGAUAUUCUCUUUUUCUGUGUGGGCUUUUUAGGUCCUCAAAGGAGAGACCCGAAUUCUGAGAAGUGGACAAGAGAAGGUUAGAUUGCUGUUCACAAAACAAUGAAUCAAAACCCUGAGUCCUUUCUGGAUUUACCUAUGUUGAAAAAAACAAACUUCCUUCGCGGCUGAGGAGAGCCCCUGCAAAGCAGUGGGAGGGGUGCCAGUGGCUGUGGUGGUCUGAGGACGGGCGGCUGGAGAGUGAGGAAACCCUGCAGGUGAGGCCUCGCCACCAGAAGGAACCACAACUGAAUGAGAAACCCCAUUCAGCAGAACAUGGAAAAGACCUUUUUGUUGUUUGAGAUGUUUCUUGUUUGUGGCAAGGCUGACAAUUCAGUAAGGCCCACAGCUGUGUUCAGGCCUAGGGCUUCCUCUGAGGCCUUUUCUCCAAAGCAGGAACGGAACCAGCGGGUGAGUCCUCCAUCCACCAGCUCAUGGGCCAGGCUCUGAAAUGUGUUUGGGAAAAGCUGAGCUUGGAGUGGCUGCCCUGAGAUUUUUAUCAGACUUAUGAAUUUAAGUUCAGUGGGAGGAAGCUGAGUAAAACUACCCGUUUGGGUUCAUGGAUGAUGCAUUUCUGGGCAUGAAGGCAUGAAAUUCAGCUCUCUUUAUCUGGAAUGUUGAAAUAAGUUGAGUCAACUAGUUUCCCAUUCUGGCCCUCACUAUGGCUAAUGACUAGACUGGUGAAGAAGACUGAGCUUUCCCAGGCCCUGCCUGGGCACCAUUGACAUCUGCUCCCCUGUUCAGUUUUCUCCCUGCUGUGUGCUCUGGACAUGCGUGAUGGUGACCUUGAACCAGGGAGCAGAAAAAAUAAGGAAGAGGAAGGCAAGGUGUCCUGCCUGUAGCAGUACCUGCAAAGUGGUGUGGGGGUGCUGUCUGUCCUCACACCGCAGCUGGGCGUGGCCCCAGGGAGCCUGCGGGCUCGGCCUCCCGCAUCCCCGAGUGCAUGGGAGCAUCACUCUCCAUGCUGGGAAGCGGAGGCUUUGGGGGGAGUGCCCGAAAUCUCUCUACUCUGCCCUUCGGUCAUCAUCACUGAAACUCGUACAUUGUUGAAAGAGCCAAGGUAUAUUUUAGCAAAACAAAUAUUGUAGAUAUUUGUUCAUUCAUUGAAGAUUGAUUUAUUCAUUCAUUGAAACAUUUUUUUACAUACUGACUUUAUGCUAGGUGCCGAGGAUACCAAAAUGACUAAGGCUGGGUUUCCUGCCCUCCUGGGCUCACAGUCUUGUGAGGAAGGUAGACAAGUAUGCAGAUAAUUCUAGAAGAAUUAUCCGCUUGAUAACAGGAGUAUGUGCAAAGUGCUCAGCCCUGCCCGGAAAUGUUGAGAAGACUGACAUAGGAGGCAGAUCUUGCAGGAGGCGUUAGGACGUCCAGGGAGCUUGCAGAAAGGAGCGUUGCCUGAGCACCAUGGAGGCUGAAUAAGAUUUUAAGCAGGGAGUGAAAGGCAAAGAAAGAAACUGGCCUUCCCGCUUCUGCCCCCAGUUGAGAUUCCAGUUCACCGAGAGAGUUUCUUUCCUCUGCGUGCUGAGAAGUGCUUCUUAGGAUGGCCCCGCACUGUUUACAUGCCACAGGUCAGGCUAGCAGUAGUUAUCAGGCCAAGCCUAGGAUUGUUGCUAUUUCUUGCAUAGACCCUUGAUAAAACCUGAAGACUUUAUAAAGAUUGUUGUGAUUCUUGCCCUCUAUCAAGUCAAAGGCUCCUUGGAAAAUGGGCGGAAAGUAAUAGCCCAUCUCCCCAGAAAAUGCACACACUUUUGCAUAACAUUUCAGGAGUUUCUGGAACUUUCCUUAUACUGCCCUCCCCCAGCCCAUUCAUAUAUUUUAGGUAAAGACCUCCAGCCUGUAAGCACUUUACAUAUAAGCACUUUACAUAUACUGGCUGUGUCAGGGGACUGGAAUAACCCAUAUGAGACACAGAAUUUUAUGGGAAUCUGGCCUCACUUGGGCAUUAAGCUUGGAGACUGAGGAAGAAAUGCUAUGAGGCAGACCUUCGGCCAGGCCAUGGCUGGGCAGGGGCACAGUGUUGGCAAGUGUCCUUUGCCCUGACUUAUUGUGGCCCGCUGGUCCUGGACCCAGCAAAAGCAAAAGCAGCUUUUAGCUCGUCAAGUUAGCUGCCUGCCAAAGGAGCUCAGUGUUGCACAUGGUUUUUGCCAGAUUAUCUGCUAGUUACACUCCAGUGUACCUGCUGGUGUGUGUGCUUUCUUUUGACUUCAGUUGGUGUGUCGAGUCAACCAGGAGAGACUGUGGUGGGAUAGAGGUAGACCAAGACUAUUUCAGAGGGGAAGAGUGAAGACAGACGUGUGGGGGAGCUACAGGAGUUGUGGGUCAGCUUAUUUCUAGGCAGAGCUUUGAAAGGACACAAAAUCCUUUUGCAGAGGGCUUUGGCAGGGCCAGUAGUAGGUGGAGGCAACAGAGGCAUUUGCUGUGGGUACGAAAUGUAAGAGGUGCCAAAAAAAAUCUCAGUAAUCAAACCAUAUUUUAAUGCAAUUAAAAAAUAAAAACUAAUGCAAAAAAUUGA
Molecule: long non-coding RNA, 4952 nt
Organism: Microcebus murinus (gray mouse lemur)
Lineage: Eukaryota; Metazoa; Chordata; Mammalia; Primates; Cheirogaleidae
Source: RefSeq, a predicted model, not a curated record